AAGGAUCAUUACAGAAAGUAAACGCGGAUCAAACCGCGAACUUCUAAACUUUUGACGAUUGACUCAUGUUGCCUCGGCGGGUUCUCCCGCCAGAGGAUACAUCGAAACUCCUGUUUUAACGGUGCUGUCUGAGCUAUAAGCAAACGAAUCAAAACUUUCAACAACGGAUCUCUUGGUUCUGGCAUCGAUGAAGAACGCAGCGUAGCCACACCGAUGUGGAAGUAAAAGUCGUAACAAG
RNAcentral lists this unclassified non-coding RNA (238 nucleotides) under uncultured fungus. RNAcentral's name for it is "partial contains 18S rRNA, ITS1, 5.8S rRNA, ITS2 and 28S rRNA". Lineage: Eukaryota; Fungi. The record is from RNAcentral.